UACGUAGGGGGCGAGCGUUGUCCGGAUUUAUUGGGCGUAAAGAGCUCGUAGGCCGUUCGGUAAGUCAGAUGUGAAAACUCCAGGCUCAACUUGGAGAGGCCAUCUGAUACUGCUGUGACUAGAGUCCGGUAGGGGAGCACGGAAUUCCUGGUGUAGCGGUGAAAUGCGCAGAUAUCAGGAGGAACACCGGUGGCGAAGGCGGUUCUCUGGGCAUGUCCUGACGCUGAGGAGCGAAAGUGUGGGGAGCGAACAGG
This 254-nucleotide ribosomal RNA is filed under the name uncultured bacterium. RNAcentral's name for it is "partial 16S ribosomal RNA". It matches the Rfam family "Bacterial small subunit ribosomal RNA", at positions 524 to 776 of the family's 1533-position model. The record is from RNAcentral.